This 253-nucleotide ribosomal RNA is filed under the name uncultured bacterium. RNAcentral describes it as "partial 16S ribosomal RNA". It matches the Rfam family "Bacterial small subunit ribosomal RNA", at positions 524 to 776 of the family's 1533-position model. The record is from RNAcentral.
UACGAAGGGGGCUAGCGUUGUUCGGAAUUACUGGGCGUAAAGGGCGCGUAGGCGGUUCCUCAAGUCAGGCGUGAAAGCCCCGGGCUCAACCUGGGAACCGCGCUUGAGACUGGAGUACUAGAGUUCGGGAGAGGAUGGUGGAAUUCCCAGUGUAGAGGUGAAAUUCGUAGAUAUUGGGAAGAACACCGAUGGCGAAGGCAGCCAUCUGGACCGACACUGACGCUGAGGCGCGAAAGCGUGGGGAGCAAACAGG